This 457-nucleotide unclassified non-coding RNA is filed under the name Hevea brasiliensis (rubber tree). Lineage: Eukaryota; Viridiplantae; Streptophyta; Magnoliopsida; Malpighiales; Euphorbiaceae. The record is from RNAcentral.
AAAAGAUUUGGUCUAUGGGACACUAUACGGAGGCGGAAUUGUAUAAUAAUUUAUGUAGUGUAGUGUUCUUUCCUUAUGCAUUCAAACGAUCCAGCCAUCCAAGAAAUUUAACUAGCAAACUAGCUUUUAUCAGCAUUUACUCACACGGGUCACUAUGUACCGUCCUUUCUCUAGAUCGUAAAUCGUCUUUAACUGAGGUUUCCUCCACUUUGAUACAGACCAUGCUACAAACAACAACAGAAUUGAUACUGCAAUUAGUGAGAGCUUUGUGGGCAACUCAUAGCCGAAGAUUGCCACAAUCCAAUCCCACUGAUCUGGUUCUGACUCUAUUGCAGCUGUGCUUUGCAAGAUGAAAGCUCCCAACGCCCAAUCGAGUGGAAUGUUUUGUACUUGAGUUGCAACAGUGAUGCUCUGAUCCUCUAAUCCAAUUCCAAGACUGUCAUGAAGUAGGGCCACA